GUGGGUGGCAAGCGUUGUCCGGAAUUAUUGGGGCGUAAAGCGCGCGCAGGCGGUUCUUUAAGUCUGAUGUGAAAGCCCACGGGCUCAACCGUGGGAGGGUCAUUGGAAACUGGAGAACUUGAGUACAGAAGAGGAAAGCGGAAUUCCACGUGUAGCGGUGAAAUGCGUAGAGAUGUGGAGGAACACCAGUGGCGAAGGCGGCUUUCUGGUCUGUAACUGACGCUGAGGCGCGAAAGCGUGGGGAGCAAACAGGAUUAGAUACCAUGGUAGUCCACGCCGUAAACGAUGAGUGCUAAGUGUUAGGGGGUUUCCGCCCCGUUAGUGCUGCAGCUAACGCAUUAAGCACUCCGCCUGGGGAGUACGGCCGCAAAGGCUG
RNAcentral lists this ribosomal RNA (376 nucleotides) under uncultured organism. RNAcentral describes it as "partial 16S ribosomal RNA". It matches the Rfam family "Bacterial small subunit ribosomal RNA", at positions 527 to 896 of the family's 1533-position model. The record is from RNAcentral.